This 202-nucleotide ribosomal RNA is filed under the name Clostridioides difficile. RNAcentral's name for it is "partial 16S ribosomal RNA". It matches the Rfam family "Bacterial small subunit ribosomal RNA", at positions 281 to 500 of the family's 1533-position model. Lineage: Bacteria; Bacillati; Bacillota; Clostridia; Peptostreptococcales; Peptostreptococcaceae. The record is from RNAcentral.
CAGUAGCCGACCUGAGAGGGUGAUCGGCCACAUUGGAACUGAGACACGGUCCAAACUCCUACGGGAGGCAGCAGGGGGGAAUAUUGCACAAUGGGCGAAAGCCUGAUGCAGCAACGCCGCGGGAGUGAUGAAGGCCUUCGGGUCGUACAUCCUUCUCCUCACGGACUAACACGACCGUCAUUAGCGAGAACGCCCCCGCAAA